This 492-nucleotide ribosomal RNA is filed under the name uncultured bacterium. RNAcentral describes it as "bacterial SSU rRNA". It matches the Rfam family "Bacterial small subunit ribosomal RNA", at positions 29 to 501 of the family's 1533-position model. The record is from RNAcentral.
AACUAACGCUGGCGGCGUGCCUAACACAUGCAAGUCGUACGAGAAAGUUGGCUUCGGCCGAUGAGUAAAGUGGCGCACGGGUGAGUAAUGCGUGGAUAAUCUGCCCUUUAGUUGGGAAUAACGUACCGAAAGGUGCGCUAAUACCUGAUAAUACUGCAUAACUACUGUUGUGUAGUCAAAGAAGGCCUCUGUUUACAAGCUUUUGCUGAAGGAUGAGUCCGCGUACCAUUAGCUGGUUGGUGGGGUAAUGGCCUACCAAGGCUACGAUGGUUAGCUGGUCUGAGAGGAUGAUCAGCCACACUGGAACUGAGACACGGACCAGACUCCUACGGGAGGCAGCAGUGAGGAAUAUUGGUCAAUGGGCGCAAGCCUGAACCAGCCAUCCCGCGUGCAGGAAGACGGCCCUAUGGGUUGUAAACUGCUUUUCCAGGGAGAGAAACUUACGCACGUGUUGCGUGACUGACGGUACCCUGGGAAUAAGCAUCGGCUAAC